Long non-coding RNA from Chenopodium quinoa (quinoa), 2943 nucleotides. RefSeq lists it as uncharacterized. The record is from RefSeq and is a predicted model, not a curated record. NCBI's taxonomy places the organism in Eukaryota, Viridiplantae, Streptophyta, Magnoliopsida, Caryophyllales, Amaranthaceae. The transcript has 4 exons.
GGUCUUAAAUAACGGGAAGGGUAUAUAAGAAACUAACGAGUUUGUCUAGUAGACUGAGGGCUGCCGCUAAACCUGUUCAAUGGGUUAGGGGCCCAUUUAAAGCCCUAGUCCAACCUUUUUAUAAAAACCCCAUCCAACAUUUAAAUGGGGAGGACUUUUAAAGGGCUAUUAAAUAAUGGGCUUUAAAUGGUUGGGUCUAAGUUAAAAAGGGCUGAAAUUAGAUAACACUUAUAAGGUUUUUUUAUCCUAAAUUUUCUGUUUAUUUCUAAAACUUUCUAACGUCAGUUUCAAAAAAAAAAAUUCCUUUAUAAAUCCCCUAUUUCCCCCAAAUGAUGAACCUAAAAAAAUUCCCAAAUUCUAAAUCUUCAAUUUAUCACCUUCUUGCUUGCCGCUUUCAAUCGUUGAUUCCGUCAUAUUACUUCAAUUACCAAGUUUUUUUAACCAUGGAAAGUGAAGCAACUACAAUGUCUAUGCCGGUAGAUGAUGAGGUUGAUGAAUCUAAUGCCGCCCGUAAGCGUAAAAGGAGUAGGAAAUCUAAAGUUUGCCGAGAAAUGACGGAAGGAAAGAAUACAAAAGGUGAGAGAAUCGCUAUUUGUAAGCACUGUAAAGUGGAGUUAAUUGCCCACAAUAAUAGUGGCACAUCUCAUUUAAUACGUCAUUUUCUUGAUGUGUGUAAAAAACGAACUAGUGGACUUCCACUUGGGGAGGCGGUUGAGGAUGAGGAAGAAUUUGUUUUUGAUAUGAGUGAAUUAAGAAAAGAGAUUUUAUUAUAUGUUGUUGAAGGCUCUCAUUCUUUUUCGACCGUAGAAGAAAAAGGUUUUAGGCGGAUGAUGUUAAAGGCUAAUUCUAAAUUUAAACUAUUUAGUCGAGCAACUUUAACGAGAGACCUUUUUUCUUUGUAUGCCUCUUAUAGAGAGAAAAUAAAAAAAAAAUUUGAGGAAUGCACCCGGACGAAUUUGUUUGACAACUGAUAAUUGAAAAUCAUCACACACUUGGUAACAUUACAUUUGCAUAACCGCCCAUUUUAUUGAUCAUGAUUGGAAACUUCAUAAAAGGAUUAUUAAGUUCACAUCAUUGUCUCCCCCCUUUGAUGGACAAAGCAUCUCCGAAGAGAUUUUUAUUUUUCUUAAUCAAUGGCAUUUAGAUGAUAAAGUGCUUAGCUUAACGGUUGACAAUGCAAGUUACAAUGAUGUGAUGGUUAAACACAUGAAAAAUAGUCUUGGGUCAAGGGGUAUGUUGGUUAGUGGUGGUUGUUUUUUUCAUAUAAGAUGUUGUGCUCAUAUCAUCAAUAUUAUUGUCCAAUCCGGUCUAUCGUGUAUUGAGAACAUAUUAGAUAAGAUUAGAAACUUGGUAAAAUAUGUUACAAGAUCAUCUUCUAGAAGCAAGGACUUUUAUGAUACCGCUCAAAAGCAUUUUCAUUUAGACGCUAAGAGGAAACUUCGUAUGGACAUGCAAGUUCGUUGGAACUCUACAUAUAUGAUGCUUGAUAAUGUGCUUUACUAUAAAGAUGUGUUUAUUCAUUUGGGGUCAUUUCAUGCAUCUUUCAAGAGUAAUGUGCCUUUGGAUGAUGAAUGGGAAAAUUUGAGUGUUGUUCACAAGUUUUUGAAACUCUUUUAUGAUGUUACAUGUAUGUUCUCGGCCAAUAAGUCUCCAACUUCUAACAUGUAUUUUAAGGGAGCAUGUAUGGUGCAUCGUCGUUUACUUGAGACAUCUAAAGGUCCACAUGAAUUUUUAGCACAAAUGGUGUUACCUAUGUUGGAAAAAUUUGACAAAUAUUGGUCCGAGUAUAACAUAUAUCUAGCUUGUACGACAAUUCUUGAUCCAAGGUUUAAGUUAAAGUUUGUGGAGUAUUGUUUUGACAAGAUAUAUGGUUUGGAUGAGGCUAUGUGAAAAGUUGAAAAAGUGUUGAACAAUUUAAGAUCUUUGUAUAAUGAGUAUAAGUCAACAUUUUCAACUUCCCCAAUUGUUGCUCCCUCUACUACAAGUAGUAGGAUCGAAGAUGAAAACUUCUUUGAUGAUUAUCAAAGCUAUAGUUCAAGAAUUACAAGGACUCAAACAAAAAAGUCCCAACUUGAGUCAUAUUUGGAGGAAUCGGAGCUUGAUUUGAACAUGGAGCUAGAUAUUUUAGAGUAUUGGCAAAAAAUGCCGUGAUAUUUCCGGAGCUUGCAAUGUUGGCACGAGAUCUUCUAACAAUUCUGGUUAGUACGGUGGCUUCCGAGUCGGCUUUUAGUGUUGGGGAGAUAACUAUAUCUCCUAAUCGUAGCUCAUUGAAACCCUCAACGGUUCAAGCCCUAGUUUGUGUUCAAGAUUGGCGUCGUGAUGAAUAUAACAUCCCUUCAAAUUUGGAUUGUGAUUCUAGCUCGGAUGAUGAUGAGGCCGUUGAUGAUGGAGAUGAUGAUGAUGAGGUUGAUGAUAUUUUCCUAUACUAGGAAACCUGCUGUAAUCAUGAUAGUUGUUUAAUGGAGGCGGAAAAACAACUUCUCUUGUGGCAGAGAAAGAGAAGGCAAAAGCAUCGUCAGAUGAGACUUCAAAACUUAAACGUUUUAGUAUAACAAUAGGAUUCCUGUGUUAGGCCUCUUGGAUGAUGACAGAUGACAGUGCAAACUGACCUUAAGAUUGUGCUUUCUGAAUAGUUCUUACUCAGGCUGUUUAAAGAGGAAAGGAAGACAAAUUUGAUAUUGUUCUAUGUGAUACAUCUGGCCGUAAGCGCUCUGCAUCUCUGAAAACAUCUGCUGUAAACUUUUUUUUUUUUUGGGUGGUUUUGUUUUAAGCAACUUCAUUUCCUUAGGUCUUCAUACGAAUUACAGUCUCAUGGAGGAGUUGAUAGCCUGUAAAAAAGCUGUGGGUAAAGUAGUUUCCGGUGCUCCUAAUGUAAGAAGCUUAAUAACUUCCAUAUCAUUAAAGUUGCUAUUUAAUUUAACAGAAAUGGUUGUCUUGUUGCAA